UGUAGAUGUGUGUGUGCGUGUGUGUGUGUGUGUGUGUCUUUCUGAUCACGUUCGCGCCACUUUCUGAAAUAACAGGUUCAUACAGUAUUUUUUGCAUUCUGGCAAAGAGCGAGUAAGAAGGCAUUUGAACCUGCAACGCAACGGACACACGGCCAUUCCAUGUCGGAGGAUCGCUCUGGUUACAUCGAGGAAAACCACAACAAUCCGAUGCAGAUGCAGGGCACUAUCCCUGAUCACACUGCUGAUCAAGAAGAUCUCACUGCAUGUAUCCCUCAGAACCAGGUGGAAAUUUGAAUGGUGUCUUAUAAUCUAUCAAUAAGUCUUGUGUUGUUCAAGACUAAACCGACAAAUGAAAGGAUGAAGGAAGUUCUUCGUCAGCUUGAUGAUGAUGUCGAGCUGUCCUAUCAAGUCAUCCAUCUUCUUCUGUCUCACUUUUCCGAAGAUGUCUCAGGACUUGAUAUGCCAGUGCAGCUGACCUUGAGAGUUCACUAGCUUUACCUGCAACGCCUCGUCUGAUACUUCUUGGAGAAACAGGAAACCACUUCCAAAGCUGGAUGCUCAGCAUUGAGGGCCAGAUUGUGGGCGAAGGGAUCCAGUCCACCUUUGUGACAGGGCUGGCGUCUUUUUUCUCCGGUUUUUAUAUCUUCAACCUACAGUACCAAGAGGAGGCAGCGUGCACACUUGAAUUCAUCCAGAGGUAAGACAUUGUCUGUUAACACCUGCAUUUGUUCUGGCCUAGCUGUGGCUCAAGCAUGGUUUCAGCAGGUCUGGUGAUGGGAUUUAGCAAUUAACUUUGCUUUAGAAAGUUUUAGUGCAACUUACAAUAUUCAUAGAUGCAUAGGAUAGUAUGUUGAGGAUAGUUCAUGGACAUUUGUUGUCUUGUUGUAGUGUUAGUCUGUGUGAAUUACUAGAUUUCCAACCCGUGUAUAAUUUUUCAGACGCUUUGUGGGUAUAAACCCAGAAAAGGGGACAAAGGCUGCAAAGGGGAAAAAAAGAACGGUAAAUUCACACAUCGCCAGCCUCUUGCGCAGACUGAUGGACUUCCAGUGGGAUUUCAUUUCAAAAAGUGGAGGUGUGUUCAGGUGCGUUCUGGGCAAUGUAGUGUAUUUUUCUGUGAUUGAUCCGAUCUAUAUGUGCCUACAUUUGUAAGUAUUUAACUUUCAGUGUUUCUAUUACAAUAAAAAAGUUAAUUUGAACAUGGAACUAUUCGUUUUCUUUCACUUAAGUGUUAUGUGAUGUAUUAUGCCUAUUCUUAUAAUAACUCAAGCUAGAAAUAUGUAUAUUACAAUCAAUGGUACACAUUACUAUGCUAAAAUAAUAAUCAAUACAUUUUAAAAGCAAUAUUUAAAGGAAACUAAAUAAAUGGUGAUUUAACAUGAAAAUAAUGGUAACCCUGCUGCCAGUAAAGUCCUGUUAAAAAACAUUACGGGUGUGCACUGUAAAAAAACAUUAACAGGAAUAAACCGUUAAAAUAACAUGAAAAUAAUGGUAACCCUGCUGCCAGUAAAUUCCUGUUAAAAAACAUUACGGGUGUGCACUGUAAAAAAACAUUAACAGGAAUAAACUGUUAAAAUAACAUGAAAAUAAUGGUAACCCUGCUGCCAGUAAAUUCCUGUUA
This is a long non-coding RNA of Pungitius pungitius (ninespine stickleback), 1618 nucleotides long. RefSeq lists it as uncharacterized. Lineage: Eukaryota; Metazoa; Chordata; Actinopteri; Perciformes; Gasterosteidae. The record is from RefSeq and is a predicted model, not a curated record. The transcript is spliced from 4 exons.